RNAcentral lists this long non-coding RNA (1024 nucleotides) under Equus asinus (donkey). RNAcentral describes it as "lncRNA (ENSEASG00005034979.1)". Lineage: Eukaryota; Metazoa; Chordata; Mammalia; Perissodactyla; Equidae. The record is from RNAcentral.
UGGGGACCCUGGGAGGGCGAGGAUGGCGGGCACAGCAGGGAAGGGCGAGGAGAAACCAGCCUUGGGGCCUGGAGGAGGAAGCCCAGGGGGCGUUGGGAAGUGACAGGCCCCCGGAGUUCCCGGGAGGAGGGCCAAGAAUGUGGGAGGGAGGUACUAGGGCUUCACCAAGGGCAAAUGUCGGCCCUCCUGGUCUCGACACCUCCAGCAGGGAGCGACUUCUCCCCUGUAACCAGCCCACAGCCCCCUGUUUCCUAGGCCCCAGGGCACUGGAGGACAGAUGGGCAACCCCUAAAGCUGCUUCAGGCCUUGAGACGCAGACAGGAGAGGCCUGUUGGGUGGGCUCACGGAAGGAUGCCUGUGCGGGGCGGGGGGAUUGGGAGGGCUGUUGCCUGAGAAGACAUCCGAGUAUCCUGUCAAGGGUAAAAGCUGACUUUGAAGGCUUUCAGCCUAGGGUGUGUGCUCAGGAGCUGUGUGACCUCGGACAGUUUACUUAACCUCUCUGAGGACUGGGACAAUGGUGGUGGUGGCACCUUCCUGGAGAGGCCCCUGUAUUCAGGCCCUGCCCAGCCGGCCCCCUCCCUCUGUGUCCAGGCUCCUUGUAGGUCAGGAUCCUGGAGGGAGAACUGCUCUGUCUGUACAUCUUUAAACUGGGAGCUGAGAAUGAGCUUUGCUGCCCGAGGUUGCUUUUUCGGAAGCCACAGUGAGGGAGGCAGGAUCAGAGAAUGAGUUCUCAGUGGGAUUCAGAUGGCCCUGCUGGGCCCUGUGGCCACCCACUGGGACCAGGCUCAGAUACCGCCCAGGGGUCAGAUCACUCGCAGGGGGUUGGGGGAGAGACCAGGACACCCCUCCAGACUUCCAAGUGGCAGCCUGACCGAAUAGCCUUGGGGAGCAGGAGCACACCCAAAACCCACUCCGGGAGGAGGCGUACCUGUGGGCCUGCGCCCCCGGGAGAGGUGGAGGGAGACUCAGGACGGCUAACCUCUCAGGAGGGUUCGAGGGGGAAGGAGAGCCAUCUGCAGUUCCU